CCUACGGGGGACAGCAGUGAGGAAUAUUGGUCAAUGGACGAGAGUCUGAACCAGCCAAGUAGCGUGAAGGAUGACUGCCCUAUGGGUUGUAAACUUCUUUUAUAUGGGAAUAAAACGUUCCACGUGUGGGAUUUUGUAUGUACCAUAUGAAUAAGGAUCGGCUAACUCCGUGCCAGCAGCCGCGGUAAUACGGAGGAUCCGAGCGUUAUCCGGAUUUAUUGGGUUUAAAGGGAGCGUAGGUGGAUUGUUAAGUCAGGUGUGAAAGUUUGCGGCUCAACCGUAAAAUUGCAGUUGAAACUGGCAGUCUUGAGUACAGUAGAGGUGGGCGGAAUUCGUGGUGUAGCGGUGAAAUGCUUAGAUAUCACGAAGAACUCCGAUUGCGAAGGCAGUUCACUGGACUGCAACUGACACUGAGGCUCGAAAGUGUGGGUAUCAAACAGGAUUAGAUGCCCGAGUAGUC
This 460-nucleotide ribosomal RNA is filed under the name uncultured bacterium. Its description in RNAcentral is "partial 16S ribosomal RNA". It matches the Rfam family "Bacterial small subunit ribosomal RNA", at positions 338 to 795 of the family's 1533-position model. The record is from RNAcentral.